AGUCAACAUAACCAAAGGACGUGGAUAAACUCGGGAAACUGAGGCUAAACCGCGAUAGAUCAAGAUACCUGGAAUGGUUUUUGAUCAGAAUCUAUAUGGCCUUUGGAUUGGACUGCGUCCGAUCAGGCUGUUGGUGAGGUAAUGGCCCACCAAACCUGUAACCGGUACGGGCUCUGAGAGGAGGAGCCCGGAGAUGGGUACUGAGAAAAGGACCCAGGCCCUAUGGGGCGCAGCAGGCGCGAAACCUCUGCAAUAGGCGAAAGCCUGACAGGGUUACUCUGAGUGACUUUCGCUAAGAAAGUCUUUUGACACCUCUAAAAAUGGUGUAGAAUAAGGGGUGGGCAAGUCUGGUGUCAGCCGCCGCGGUAACACCAGCACCCCGAGUGGUCGGGACGAUUGUUGGGCCUAAAGCAUCCGUAGCCGGUUUUACAAGUCCUCCGUUAAAUCCAGCUGCUUAACAGAUGGGCUGCGGAGGAUACUAUAAGACUAGGAGGCAGGAGAGGCAAGCGGUACUCAGUGGGUAGGGGUAAAAUCCGUUGAUCCAUUGAAGACCACCAGUGGCGAAGGCGGCUUGCCAGAACGCGCUCGACGGUGAGGGAUGAAAGCUGGGGGAGCAAACCGGAUUAGAUACCCGGGUGGUCCCAGCUGUAAACGAUGCAGACUCGGUGAUGAGUUGGCUUAUUGCUAACUCAGUGCCGCAGGGAAGCCGUUAAGUUUGCCGCCUGGGGAGUACGGUCGCAAGACUGAAACUUAA
Molecule: ribosomal RNA, 754 nt
Filed under: uncultured archaeon
Lineage: Archaea
Description: bacterial SSU rRNA
Rfam family: Archaeal small subunit ribosomal RNA
Source: RNAcentral